GGCUAGAUUGCGUUGAAACUGCGGUUCUCGUACGAUCACAGAAGGUAAGCAACGUCGAACCUGAUCAGUACCUAGAUGAGUGAUCGCUUGAGAAUACCAGGUGCUGUAAG
Molecule: non-coding RNA, 110 nt
Organism: Acanthosepion pharaonis
Lineage: Eukaryota; Metazoa; Mollusca; Cephalopoda; Sepiida; Sepiidae
Source: the annotation of a GenBank genome assembly